GAAAUGCGAUAAGUAGUGUGAAUUGCAGAAUUCAGUGAAUCAUCGAAUCUUUGAACGCACAUUGCGCCCCCUGGUAUUCCGGGGGGCAUGCCUGUUCGAGCGUCAUUUCACCACUCAAGCCUCGCUUGGUAUUGGGCGACGCGGUCCGCCGCGCGCCUCAAAUCGACCGGCUGGGUCUUUCGUCCCCUCAGCGUUGUGGAAACUAUUCGCUAAAGGGUGCCGCGGGAGGCCACGCCGUAAAACAACCCCAUUUCUAAGGUUGACCUCGGAUCAGGUAGGGAUACCCGCUGAACUUAAGC
This 299-nucleotide unclassified non-coding RNA is filed under the name plant metagenome. RNAcentral's name for it is "partial contains 5.8S ribosomal RNA, internal transcribed spacer 2, and large subunit ribosomal RNA". The stretch from base 1 to 105 matches the Rfam family "5.8S ribosomal RNA", at positions 50 to 154 of the family's 154-position model. The record is from RNAcentral.